GACGAACGCUGGCGGCGUGCUUAACACAUGCAAGUCGAACGGAAAGGCCUGCUUUCCCUUGUGGAUUGCGGGUACUCGAGUGGCGAACGGGUGAGUAACACGUGAGUGAUCUGCCCCCAACUUGGGUAUAAGCCUGGGAAACUGGGUCUAAUUCCCGAUAGGACUGCAGGGUGGUGCCUGUGGUGGAAAACGAUUUUCUAGUGGUUGGGGAUGAGCUCGCGGCCUAUCAGCUUGUUGGUGGGGUAAUGGCCUACCAAGGCGGCGACGGGUAGCCGGCCUGAGAGGGUGGACGGCAACAUUGGGACUGAGAUACGGCCCAGACUCCUACGGGAGGCAGCAGUGGGGAAUAUUGCACAAUGGGCGGAAGACUGAUGCAGCGACGCCGCGUGGGGGAUGACGGCCUUCGAGUUGUAAACUCCUUUCGACCGCGAGGAAGCCACCUGGUUGGAAGGGUGGUGACGGUAGUGGUAGAAGAAGCACCGGCUAACUACG
RNAcentral lists this ribosomal RNA (492 nucleotides) under uncultured bacterium. Its description in RNAcentral is "partial 16S ribosomal RNA". It matches the Rfam family "Bacterial small subunit ribosomal RNA", at positions 28 to 505 of the family's 1533-position model. The record is from RNAcentral.